CCUGCUCCUGCUGCUCCUUUGGGAUGGGCAGCAGGGAAAUUGGGACACACCGUGCAGUGGCAGCACACUGGGCUGUACCAAAACCCUGAAAUGCUGUGCCAUGCUGUGCCGUGCCAUGCUGUGCCGUGCUGUGCUCUGCUGUGCCGUGCCAUGUUGUGCCGUGCCAUGCCAUGCUGUGCCGUGCUGUGCUCUGCUGUGCCGUGCCAUGUUGUGCCGUGCCAUGCCAUGCUGUGCCGUGCUGUGCUAUGCUGUGCCGUGCCAUGCCAUGCUGUGCCAUGCUGUGCUGUGCCGUGCCAUGCUGCGCCAUGUUGUGCUGUGCUGUGCUGUGCCAUGCUGUGCCAUGCUGUGCCAUGCUGUGCCAUGCUGUGCUGUGCCAUGCCAUGCUGCGCCAUGUUGUGCCGUGCUGUGCUGUGCUGUGCCAUGCUGUGCCAUGCUGUGCCGUGCUGUGCCGUGCCACGCUCUGCUAUGCCAUACUGGUCACCCAGGCUCAGAGUUGUCAUCCCUGCAGGGCUGUGCCAUGCCGUGCUGUGCUGGGCUGUGCCAUGCCAUUCUGUGCUGUGCUGUGCAGGCUGCCCUUGCUCCACAACAUCAUCCUUCCUGUGCUGUGCCGUGCCAUGCCAUGCUGUACCAUGCCUUGCCUUGCUGUGCCAUGCUGUGCUAUGCCAUGCUGUUCAGGCUGCUCUGGCUCCACAGUGUCACCCUUGCUGUGCUGUGCCAUGCCAUGCUAUGCCAUUCAGGCUGCCCAGGCUCAGCGGAGCCAUCCCUGCAGGGCUGUACCAUACAGUGCCGUGCCACGCUGCCCCUUGCCCUGCCGUGCCAUGUUGUGCCGUGCCGUGCAGUGCCAGCUGCCCAGGCUUGGUGGUGCUGUGCUUGCCGGGAAGCACUGUGAGCUGCAGGACUGCACGUGUGUGGCCGUACCUGGCCCACAUCGGCUGGUUCCGAGGCCGGUGCCUGAGCUGUGCCCUGCCUGGUCGCCACGCAGCCCAGGACUUGUGCCUGAUGUGCCCCCUCCUGCAUACCGCUGGUGCCCGGCACAUCUCAGUGCCACCGCUGCUCUCACCACACCACAGGGCACAGCAGCUGCGCCAAGGCUCAGCCAGCACCAGGGACACCAGGGUUACCAUCGGUGUCCCACCUGCAGCAUGUCAGCCUGCCCGAGGGGACACAACCCCACCCUGUGUGCUGGGGACAGGACACGUCCACAGAAGGUCAGGACACCCCCUGGUGGGACAGGAC
This 1236-nucleotide long non-coding RNA is filed under the name Anser brachyrhynchus (Pink-footed goose). RNAcentral describes it as "lncRNA (ENSABRG00000021621.1)". The record is from RNAcentral. Lineage: Eukaryota; Metazoa; Chordata; Aves; Anseriformes; Anatidae.